UGAGGAAUCUUGCGCAAUGGGGGAAACCCUGACGCAGCAACGCCGCGUGAGUGAGGAAGGCCUUCGGGUCGUAAAGCUCUGUCAGAUGGGAAGAAAUGGGCGGGGGCUAAUAUCGUCCACCCUUGACGGUACCAUCAGAGGAAGCACCGGCUAACUCCGUGCCAGCAGCCGCGGUAAUACGGGGGGUGCAAGCGUUGUUCGGAAUCAUUGGGCGUAAAGCGCGCGCAGGCGGCUUGGUAAGUCAGAUGUGAAAUCCCUGGGCUUAACCCAGGAAGUGCAUUUGAUACUGCCUCGCUAGAGUACGGGAGAGGAAAGUGGAAGUCCUGGUGUAGAGGUGAAAUUCGUAGAUAUCAGGAGGAACACCGGUGGCGAAGGCGACUUUCUGGCCCGAUACUGACGCUCAGGCGCGAAAGCGGGGGGAGCAAACAG
RNAcentral lists this ribosomal RNA (429 nucleotides) under uncultured bacterium. RNAcentral describes it as "bacterial SSU rRNA". It matches the Rfam family "Bacterial small subunit ribosomal RNA", at positions 355 to 775 of the family's 1533-position model. The record is from RNAcentral.